This 86-nucleotide small nucleolar RNA is filed under the name Aspergillus versicolor CBS 583.65. The record is from RNAcentral. Lineage: Eukaryota; Fungi; Ascomycota; Eurotiomycetes; Eurotiales; Aspergillaceae.
CUUGCAUGAUGAGAAACAUUUUUUUUCAGUUCUGCUUCUGCAAACAUCUUGAAGAAAACAAAAUACCUUACCAAAUCUCCUGAUGC